UUACUACAAGUGCAGCAGUCAUCUCACACUUUCACACUUUUACUGUCAGUCUAUCUAUUCUAAUUUGAUUUAAGCAAAUUUAGGGAAAUUAGGGAAUGAGAGACAUCAUCAAAGCUGAAAGAAGACAAAUAGCAAGUCAGUUAAUCAGAUACUGCAGGAAGCCUCAGAAGGACACAAGCUGAAGGACAACUGUAAAAAAGCUGCAACUUUGAAUGUUUAUGUCCUUCAAAUUUCAGUGAAUUUCCCAACAAAGUCAGUUAUGGAGAAACAUCUGCUCAUACUCCUAAUUUUCACAGAGUGCCGGCGCACAUAAGAAGGAAAUCGCUCCUUCUCCAACUGCCGCACCGGCACGACAUGGGCAGCUUCCUGCCGAACAUUCCGCCAGCCGGAAGGACCGCCGCGGCAGGGCGGGGCUGACGCGACUCCGGCCAGCGAUUGGCGGAUCCAACGGGGAAGUCCCACCACUCAGGCGACGGCGGAGGAGGAUAAAAGGGCGCGCUUCCGGCUGGGAAGGGGAGGAGAAUAUCGUAGCGUCAAGACGGACUCCGAGGCACAAGCGCGGACGAGACCGCCGGAUAGUGAGAGUCGCACACACGGGAGGACGUCGGCCCGGGAA
Ictalurus punctatus (channel catfish) is the source of this 616-nucleotide long non-coding RNA. The record is from Ensembl. NCBI's taxonomy places the organism in Eukaryota, Metazoa, Chordata, Actinopteri, Siluriformes, Ictaluridae.